GACGAACGCUGGCGGCGUGCCUAAUACAUGCAAGUAGAACGCUGAAGAGAGGAGCUUGCUCUUCUUGGAUGAGUUGCGAACGGGUGAGUAACGCGUAGGUAACCUGCCUUGUAGCGGGGGAUAACUAUUGGAAACGAUAGCUAAUACCGCAUAACAAUGGAUGACACAUGUCAUUUAUUUGAAAGGGGCAAUUGCUCCACUACAAGAUGGACCUGCGUUGUAUUAGCUAGUAGGUGAGGUAACGGCUCACCUAGGCGACGAUACAUAGCCGACCUGAGAGGGUGAUCGGCCAGACUGGGACUGAGACACGGCCCAGACUCCUACGGGAGGCAGCAGUAGGGAAUCUUCGGCAAUGGGGGCAACCCUGACCGAGCAACGCCGCGUGAGUGAAGAAGGUUUUCGGAUCGUAAAGCUCUGUUGUAAGUCAAGAACGAGUGUGAGAGUGGAAAGUUCACACUGUGACGGUAGCUUACCAGAAAGGGACGGCUAACUACGUG
RNAcentral lists this ribosomal RNA (497 nucleotides) under uncultured bacterium. RNAcentral's name for it is "partial 16S ribosomal RNA". It matches the Rfam family "Bacterial small subunit ribosomal RNA", at positions 28 to 507 of the family's 1533-position model. The record is from RNAcentral.